RNAcentral lists this transfer RNA (87 nucleotides) under Pseudomonas saudimassiliensis. Its description in RNAcentral is "tRNA-Leu". It matches the Rfam family "tRNA". From Rfam's summary of the family: Transfer RNA (tRNA) molecules are approximately 80 nucleotides in length. Their secondary structure includes four short double-helical elements and three loops (D, anti-codon, and T loops). Lineage: Bacteria; Pseudomonadati; Pseudomonadota; Gammaproteobacteria; Pseudomonadales; Pseudomonadaceae. The record is from RNAcentral.
GCCCGGAUGGCGAAACUGGUAGACGCAAGGGACUUAAAAUCCCUCGAUGGUAACAUCGUGCCGGUUCGAUUCCGGCUCCGGGCACCA